CUGCCCAAAACACCUAGCUAUGCCACACCCACAAGGGAAUUCAGCAGUGAUUAACAUUGAGCAUUAGCGCAAGCUUGACUCAGUUAAAGUAAACAGAGCCGGCUAAUCUGGUGCCAGCCGCCGCGGUUACACCACGUGGCUCAAGUCGACCUCCUCCGGCGUAAAGCGUGAUUAAAGUUAUACACCACUAGAGUAAAAUUAAAACUGAGCUGUGACACGCCUGUUUAUUAAGAAACUCGAAAACGAAAGUUACUCUAAUUAAAUCAACUUGAAUUCACGACAGCUGGGGAACAAACUGGGAUUAGAUACCCCACUAUGCCCAGCCGUAAACUUUUAUUUACACUCAAAUCGCCAGGGAACUACGAGCUAAGCUUAAAACCCAAAGGACUUGACGGUACCCCACAUCCCCCUAGAGGAGCCUGUCCUAUAAUCGAUAAUCCACGUUUAACCUCACCAUUUUUAGUUAAUCAGCCUGUAUACCUCCGUCGUCAGCUUACCCCGUGAGCGUCAAUUAGUGAGCUUAAUGUUAUUUCACCAAUACGUCAGGUCAAGGUGCAGCAAAUGAAAUGGAAAGAGAUGGGCUACACUUUCUAUGUUAGAAGAAACGAAAAACUAUUUAUGAAACCUAGUUAGAAGGCGGAUUUAGCAGUAAAAAGGAAUCAGCAUGUCCAUUUUAACCCGGCACU
RNAcentral lists this ribosomal RNA (686 nucleotides) under Strauchbufo raddei (Mongolian toad). RNAcentral describes it as "partial small subunit ribosomal RNA". It matches the Rfam family "Bacterial small subunit ribosomal RNA", at positions 327 to 1375 of the family's 1533-position model. Lineage: Eukaryota; Metazoa; Chordata; Amphibia; Anura; Bufonidae. The record is from RNAcentral.